UACGAAGGGUGCAAACGUUGCUCGGAAUCAUUGGGCGUAAAGCGCACGUAGGCGGCUUCGCAAGUCGGAUGUGAAAUCCCAUGGCUCAACCAUGGACGUGCACCCGAAACUGCGGGGCUUGAGUACUGAAGAGGAUCGCGGAAUUCCCGGUGUAGAGGUGAAAUUCGUAGAUAUCGGGAGGAACACCAGUGGCGAAGGCGGCGAUCUGGGCAGAUACUGACGCUGAGGUGCGAAAGCGUGGGGAGCAAACAGG
RNAcentral lists this ribosomal RNA (253 nucleotides) under uncultured bacterium. RNAcentral's name for it is "partial 16S ribosomal RNA". It matches the Rfam family "Bacterial small subunit ribosomal RNA", at positions 524 to 776 of the family's 1533-position model. The record is from RNAcentral.